CUACGGGGUGCUGCAGUGAGGGAUUUUGCGCAAUGGGCGAAAGCCUGACGCAGCAACGCCGCGUGAGUGAUGAAGGCCUUCGGGUCGUAAAGCUCUGUCAAGUGGGAAGAACCUAUGUAAUGUUAAUAUCAUUAUAUACUGACGGUACCACUGAAGGAAGCACCGGCUAACUCCGUGCCAGCAGCCGCGGUAAUACGGGGGGUGCAUGCGUUAUUCGGAAUCAUUGGGCGUAAAGGGCACGUAGGCGGCCUGGUAAGUCAGAUGUGAAAGCCCGGGGCUUAACCCCGGAAGUGCAUUUGAUACUGUCAGGCUUGAGUAUGGGAGAGGGAAGUGGAAUUCCUGGUGUAGAGGUGAAAUUCGUAGAUAUCAGGAGGAACACCGGUGGCGAAGGCGACUUCCUGGACCAAUACUGACGCUGGGGUGCAAAGGCGUGGGUAGCAAACAGGAUUAGAUACCCGAGUAGUC
RNAcentral lists this ribosomal RNA (465 nucleotides) under uncultured bacterium. RNAcentral's name for it is "partial 16S ribosomal RNA". It matches the Rfam family "Bacterial small subunit ribosomal RNA", at positions 339 to 795 of the family's 1533-position model. The record is from RNAcentral.